GCUAUUUCAAAAAUUAAUCUGCAAGAAUACCUGCAUUGCGAUCUUUAAGAGGUAAAAAGAAAGAACUUCUUCUUAAGAAAGAACUUUUCGUUCAAACUCGGUUGUUGAGUAAUUAAUUUUAAGACACCCAGUAUAUGAUCCAUGGCUGGAUUUGUGGAUGGAUCUGCAACCUCGAAAAUCCAUCCACGCGAAGUUGCGAGAUGACAAAAAUUAUAUUUACGGCGAGAACUGCCUCAGGAUAAGAAACCUGAAGAGGAUCUUAAUGUAGAAGCAAAAUAAAAAUACCUACAAGACGAAAACGUUCCGCUGACUUUCUCGCCAUUAAUAACUAUUCACCAUCCCUAGUUGACUCUAUCCUGAAUAGAACUAGGAGAAGGCUUAGAGUUGCUGCAGCUGCGGACCACUUUCUAAUCCCACUGUUUCCAAGUCUUAUUACUACUCCAUUCCUUACACAAGUCGGAUCUCUCAGGGGGUUGCUAACUUUGUUAAGGGUAUGGAUCAUGUCUACAUUUCCUUCAGGUCUGACAAUAGCUUGGCGAGUAAUCUGUGUCACAAUAAGGAUGCCAUUAACGCUUUGGAUAAGAGUGGUAUAUAAUACUGAAUUGUGCCUCUUGUAAUGUUUCAUAUAUUGGUAAAAUAAUGAGAAAGCUGGGGUCCGAAUUAAGGAGCAUCUGAGGUACCCUGACAUAUCUAAUUUUGAGCAUCAUUGGUCUUUCUCUGGCCACAGCUUUGUACCUAAUGAUAAUGCGAUGAUUUUACAUAACGUUUUUGAUUUCUCCUUUAGAUUGAAGCUGCUGGAGAAUUUGGAGAUUCAUAAGGGGCCGCGAGGUUGGUUCGAAGUGCGUGAACACACACACAAGCCAACUUAAUCUGAUUUCUUAAUUUUCUCUUAUUUUUAUAUGAUUGUACGGCUUUCACUCGGUAACGAUCCCAAAAGUCAUCACUUAAUAUUAUAAGCAUAUUAUUGCCCUUUUGUCUUUACAAUACCUUACUUGUUCUGAUCUCAGGUAUUUAAUUUUUAAGUUUACCGUUAAUUUAAUUUUUAUUUAAUUUAAUUAAUGUUUUGAUUGCCAGUAACUACUGAAGCCAGUCACCGAACCCUCUCAUUGCCCUUUGAAUUAUAUAUAUAUUUUUUAUAUUUAAUUGCGCAAUCUUUCCAUUUAAAUAACGAAAUAUAUUUUUGAGUUUUUCAGCAUCUGAGAAUUUGUUCAGUAUUUUGCACGGUUAAAAAAAAGAAGAGAAUCUCCUUUUUGUCAACCAAAUGUGAAAUGUUUCUGCCCGCUGUUCUUGGGCCAGCUUUAUCAGACUGUCAGUCUCCGUACUGAUAGGACCGAUCAGUCAAGUUCUUUUAUUUUUAUUUUUUUUUGGUUUUGUUUUAAUUUCAACUUUAGUUUGUUUUCUUGUAAGUUUGUCGUAUACAAUUUUAACCAUUUUAGGCCGGUUUAAGCAGUUUUUAACCAGUUUUGACUAUUUUUGACCGUUGAUUGACAUGUUUUAUUCGGUACUCUUAGGAAUGUUUGCUUCUGAUUUGACAACAGCCUUGAUGAUGACGUAAUUGUCGGAAGCGCUUGGCCUUAAUUGAUAAUUACCCAAGUCUUCGGGGGAACUGAUCCAAUCAAUCUAUGGAGAGGCGUGAGACAGAAAGAUACAGUAUACCCUAAAAUAUUCAGAUUUGGAGAAACAGAUCUGGAGGAUAUCUUUAAGACACUUGAAUGGGAGGAGAAGGGUGUUAACAUCAAUGAUGAAUUUAAAUAACCUGAGAUUUACAGAAUAUUUCAGCUUGGACGGAAAACAUAUGGAAAACUUAGUGAUGUAUUUAUUUCCAAAUUUUCACAAUACCUUAAAACACAAGUUUUUGAGCAAUGUGUCCUAACGACCUUAACGUACGCCGCAUAACCAUGUAGCCUUCAUGAGGGGACCAUGGGGCGUUUGAGGAUUGCUCAAAGAAAAAUUGAGAGGAAAAUGUUGAGAAAACGAUUACAAAAGCGAAAGACAAACGAAUGGAUGAGACAAAUGCAAAAGUGAUAAAGAUAGCAGAACGGGUGAUGAGGCUAAAAUGAAAAUGAGCUGGUCAUUUGAUGAGGACAGUUGAUAAUAGAUGGACCAAGAAGACAACUGAGUGGACGCCCAGAACAACUCAAAGGAACCCAGGACGACCAACAACGAGGUGGAAAGAUGACAUCCAGAGACUGGCAGGUACCCAAUCGAUGGGUCAGAGAGUCAUCGAAUCAGACGCCCGGUAGAAGUAAAUGGCGACGAAUAGGAGAGGCCUAUGUUCAGAGACGGAUAGACAUAUGCUGAGGAUGAUGAUGAUGAUGAUGAUGAUGAUCAAGCAUGACCUAAGUUAGUGUAUAUACAUAUAAACAAACAGUAUUAAUUGAAAUAGUUAAUGGAAAUAUAGCAUUUUUAAAUAUUAGUUAUCAACAGAUUCUCAUAUUUGACCAAGAUGUUUGUUUGCAUAAGUUUAAAAAGGUCAUAGCAAUAUGUAUUUACGUAAUGUUAAUUAGGAAGACUAACUUGAAAAACAUUGUUGCCGUCUUUCUCAUAUAGUUUUUUGCAAAUUUCUCAGUUUUUAAUAACAAUGAAUGUUUUUGCUAUUUUUUUUGUACUUCUAUAAAGCCCCAAACAACACCUCCAUAGUAAUGACGCAAACUUUGAAUCACCCUGUAUGGUAGGUACACCAAAAUGAGAACGUAGAGAUUGUGAAUAAAAAUAUGAAACAGUCCGUAAUACUUAAAGCAAUAAAGUUAUUGGUAUUAUAUUUAUGCCUGUUUAUGAGUGAUGAUUUUUUUUCUGGCAAUAUAGAAAUGUUGAAUAGAAAUGGUUAAUGCUCCUAGAGCCAUACGUUACAUUACACCUGUAUGUUAAUGCAAUUGAUCAAUUUCCUAAUUAGAUUAUUCCGAAAUCGCUUUAACGCAUCUAUAAAACUCAUUAGAACCUCUCUUGUUUUAUAUCCUUGUUUGUACAUGCCUGAGUAAAAGCUAUAUCCAGAUUUUUUCGAACUGCUCUUGGUUAAUCCUUGUAUUACUCAUAUAAAGUGGAUAAUUCCAUUUAUCUGUAAGUAUUAAUUAAUACAAUAUUGUUAAUGGAACUGUUCCACAUCGUUUAUCUUUUUAUUUGCCUUAUCUCAAGCACUAUAAACAUUUUUACAUUUGCAGUUGCCUAAUUAAAAAAGACGAGGCGUGAAGUAUGGAGUCAGCUUAAUUUAGGCAUGUAGACAAGAAUAAGUGUCUCACUAGUCAAUAAGUGAAUGAACCGAGUAAACUUUGAAAUUCGGAGAAAUAUGGAAAGUUUCCUGGAGUUUAGUGAAACAUAGACUACAACUCAUAUUUCAAAUGAUCAUUAUAGUUGCACUUAUCAAUUUGGAAAGCAGUUUUCAUUAAUUUUUUGAAAAAGUGUUUUAAUGUAAGACUUUUUAGUAUCAUGGAUUAUAUCAGCCACAUAAAGAAUAUAUUUCUCUUCCAUUUGCGAGAUGCUUCAAGGAAUGUGCCUGAAUGUGAUUGGAGAAUCGAGCCAACAUCCUCAUUUUGAUGACGUCAAGACUAGACUAGGGAGUGUUGGAAUGACGUCAAACCUGACCCUCUCGCUUCCAGAGAAAACUCAGUGCCAGUUGGGGCGCUGAGAGAUUUAUGUCAACAAAUAUCGAUUUUCGCAUUUAGGUUUGAUGUCGCUUUUAUCUCCGCAGUUGGUGGUUUGCCAAAAAGGCGUUACAUAUUAUACGACCGAUUUUAACGAUUAUCGAUUUAUAUGUUUCAGUAUUUGGUUGAAUAUAAAAUACGACGUUAUACCACCUUAAAAAUGCAUACAUACAUUCAACAUAUAAUGCCAGUUUUUAUGCAAAAACCAGCAAUGUUUUCUCUGAAAUUGGCUCCAUAUAAAAACAUUGUUGAUCUUUAAUUGUAUGUUAAAAUUUCUACACAGAAAAUGCUUUUUUGUUGCAAAAAUCGCAUUAAAUAAAUAUGAAUUCUUACAAAUAUCCUAUUUUAAGAAUCAAAAAAGGAAUAUUUUAAGUAGUAAA
Dendroctonus ponderosae (mountain pine beetle) is the source of this 4018-nucleotide long non-coding RNA. RefSeq lists it as uncharacterized. The record is from RefSeq and is a predicted model, not a curated record. The transcript has 3 exons. NCBI's taxonomy places the organism in Eukaryota, Metazoa, Arthropoda, Insecta, Coleoptera, Curculionidae.